This 440-nucleotide ribosomal RNA is filed under the name uncultured bacterium. RNAcentral's name for it is "partial 16S ribosomal RNA". It matches the Rfam family "Bacterial small subunit ribosomal RNA", at positions 338 to 795 of the family's 1533-position model. The record is from RNAcentral.
CCUACGGGGUGCUGCAGUGGGGGAUAUUGCACAAUGGGGGAAACCCUGAUGCAGCGACGCCGCGUGUGGGAAGACGGUCCUCUGGAUUGUAAACCACUGUCCCCAGGGACGAAGAUGACGGUACCUGGGGAGGAAGCUCCGGCUAACUACGUGCCAGCAGCCGCGGUAAUACGUAGGGAGCGAGCGUUAUCCGGAUUUAUUGGGUUUAAAGGGUGUGUAGGCGGACAGUCAAGUCAGCGGUAAAAAUGCGGUGCUCAACGCCGUACAGCCGUUGAAACUGGCAGUCUUGAGUGGGCGAGAAGUAUGCGGAAUGCGUGGUGUAGCGGUGAAAUGCAUAGAUAUCACGCAGAACUCCGAUUGCGAAGGCAGCAUACCGGCGCCCGACUGACGCUGAGGCACGAAAGCGUGGGUAUCGAACAGGAUUAGAUACCCCAGUAGUC